GACGAACGCUGGCGGCGCGCCUAACACAUGCAAGUCGAACGAGCGAGAGAGAGCUUGCUUUCUCGAGCGAGUGGCGAACGGGUGAGUAACGCGUGAGGAACCUGCCUCAAAGAGGGGGACAACAGUUGGAAACGACUGCUAAUACCGCAUAAGCCCACGACCCGGCAUCGGGUAGAGGGAAAAGGAGCAAUCCGCUUUGAGAUGGCCUCGCGUCCGAUUAGCUAGUUGGUGAGGUAACGGCCCACCAAGGCGACGAUCGGUAGCCGGACUGAGAGGUUGAACGGCCACAUUGGGACUGAGACACGGCCCAGACUCCUACGGGAGGCAGCAGUGGGGAAUAUUGCACAAUGGGGGAAACCCUGAUGCAGCGACGCCGCGUGGAGGAAGAAGGUCUUCGGAUUGUAAACUCCUGUUGUCGAGGAAGAUAAUGACGGUACUCAACAAGGAAGUGACGGCUAACUACGUG
RNAcentral lists this ribosomal RNA (466 nucleotides) under uncultured bacterium. RNAcentral describes it as "partial 16S ribosomal RNA". It matches the Rfam family "Bacterial small subunit ribosomal RNA", at positions 28 to 507 of the family's 1533-position model. The record is from RNAcentral.